This 472-nucleotide ribosomal RNA is filed under the name uncultured bacterium. Its description in RNAcentral is "bacterial SSU rRNA". It matches the Rfam family "Bacterial small subunit ribosomal RNA", at positions 28 to 500 of the family's 1533-position model. The record is from RNAcentral.
GAUGAACGCUGGCGGCGUGCUUAACACAUGCAAGUCGAGCGAAGCAGUUAAGUUGAUUUCUUCGGAUUGAUUCUUAAUUGACUGAGCGGCGGACGGGUGAGUAACGCGUGGGUGACCUGCCCCAUACCGGGGGAUAACAGCUGGAAACGGCUGCUAAUACCGCAUAAGCGCACAGAGCUGCAUGGCUCAGUGUGAAAAACUCCGGUGGUAUGGGAUGGGCCCGCGUCUGAUUAGGCAGUUGGCGGGGUAACGGCCCACCAAACCGACGAUCAGUAGCCGGCCUGAGAGGGCGACCGGCCACAUUGGGACUGAGACACGGCCCAAACUCCUACGGGAGGCAGCAGUGGGGAAUAUUGCACAAUGGGGGAAACCCUGAUGCAGCGACGCCGCGUGAGCGAAGAAGUAUUUCGGUAUGUAAAGCUCUAUCAGCAGGGAAGAUAAUGACGGUACCUGACUAAGAAGCCCCGGCUAA